RNAcentral lists this long non-coding RNA (782 nucleotides) under Homo sapiens (human). RNAcentral describes it as "HSALNT0078936". Lineage: Eukaryota; Metazoa; Chordata; Mammalia; Primates; Hominidae. The record is from RNAcentral.
CCUGAAGCUGAUGGUGACAGAGAGAAGAGCCAGGAUGAGAAAAGCAGAUCGUGAACCGCACAGGAGGAGCUGCAGCUCUUCGUCCCCAGGGCAGGGCAGGCUCCUGGGCUUCCGCUGCCGCCGGAUGCGGACGUCUCGGCUCCGGAGGACGACGAGGAGAUGGAAGGGGACUGAGUGGCCGCCGAUGGCUCCGCCAUGGCUACUUGAAGAAAACAUAUUUACCCGUCCUCUCCUGUUCAAAGAGGAUAUAUUUUCCCCUGUCUUCUGACAUUCUUUGUAUUCAUAGUUGGUGUCUGAAAAACUUCAUUUAAUGGGCUUGCUCUGUCACCCAGGCUGAAGUACAGUGGUGCGAUCUUGGCUUACAGGUAGAGGUUGCAAUCUCUACCUCCCGGGCUCAAGUUAUCCUCCCACCUCAGCCUCCUGAGUAGCUAGGAUUACAGCCACUCUCUUUAAGGAAGCGGUGUUAUAUGCAAUUUCAUCCUAUGCUUUUGUUACUACCUUUCUAACAUUGGUGACAUGUUGGGAAAUUGAAUCAUGGGUAAAUUUUCAUCUUCUGCUUAAUAACCACAGUUCUCAGGGAAGGAGGUUAUAAUUACUCCUGAUGACUACCUUGCUUAAACAUUCUUUUCAGAAAUGGGAUUAUCUCAAAGACUGCAUGAGUUGAAACCAUGAGAAUGUUUUUCUACUAUCAGCAGUAUCAAGCGUAUUCUGUGUAUAGUACAGGUAUACCUUGGAGAUAUGGCAGGUUUGCUUUUGGACCGCCGUAUUGCAAUAAAGUGAGA